GCUUGUCUCAAAGAUUAAGCCAUGCAUGUCUAAGUAUAAAUAAUUCUAUACUGUGAAACUGCGAAUGGCUCAUUAUAUCAGUUAUAGUUUAUUUGAUAGUCCCUUACUACUUGGAUAACCGUAGUAACUCUAGAGCUAAUACAUGCAUCAAGCCCCGACUUCUGGAAGGGGUGUAUUUAUUAGAUGGAAACCAAUGCGGGGCAACCCGGUAUAUGGUGAUUCAUAAUAACUUUCGGAUCGAUUUAUCGAUGCAUCAUUCAAGUUUCUGCCCUAUCAGCUUUGGAUGGUAGGGUAUUGGCCUACCAUGGCUUUAACGGGUAACGGAGAAUUAGGGUUCGAUUCCGGAGAGGGAGCCUGAGAAAUGGCUACCACAUCCAAGGAAGGC
This 385-nucleotide ribosomal RNA is filed under the name Ochromonas tuberculata. RNAcentral's name for it is "partial small subunit ribosomal RNA". It matches the Rfam family "Eukaryotic small subunit ribosomal RNA", at positions 30 to 426 of the family's 1831-position model. Lineage: Eukaryota; Chrysophyceae; Chromulinales; Chromulinaceae. The record is from RNAcentral.